This 75-nucleotide transfer RNA is filed under the name Alphaproteobacteria bacterium. RNAcentral describes it as "tRNA-Lys". It matches the Rfam family "tRNA". From Rfam's summary of the family: Transfer RNA (tRNA) molecules are approximately 80 nucleotides in length. Their secondary structure includes four short double-helical elements and three loops (D, anti-codon, and T loops). Further hydrogen bonds mediate the characteristic L-shaped molecular structure. tRNAs have two regions of fundamental functional importance: the anti-codon, which is responsible for specific mRNA codon recognition, and the 3' end, to which the tRNAs corresponding amino acid is attached (by aminoacyl-tRNA synthetases). tRNAs cope with the degeneracy of the genetic code in two manners: having more than one tRNA (with a specific anti-codon) for a particular amino acid; and 'wobble' base-pairing, i.e. permitting non-standard base-pairing at the 3rd anti-codon position. Lineage: Bacteria; Pseudomonadati; Pseudomonadota; Alphaproteobacteria. The record is from RNAcentral. RNAcentral also lists the same sequence under 1 other name.
GAUUCCGUAGCUCAGCGGUAGAGCAUCUGACUUUUAAUCAGAGGGUCGAGGGUUCAAAUCCCUCCGGGAUCACCA